Molecule: ribosomal RNA, 579 nt
Filed under: uncultured bacterium
Lineage: Bacteria
Description: bacterial SSU rRNA
Rfam family: Bacterial small subunit ribosomal RNA
Source: RNAcentral
ACGGGUGAGGAAUACAUCGGAAUCUACUUUUUCGUGGGGGAUAACGUAGGGAAACUUACGCUAAUACCGCAUACGACCUACGGGUGAAAGCAGGGGAUCUUCGGACCUUGCGCGAUUAAAUGAGCCGAUGUCGGAUUAGCUAGUUGGCGGGGUAAAGGCCCACCAAGGCGACGAUCCGUAGCUGGUCUGAGAGGAUGAUCAGCCACACUGGAACUGAGACACGGUCCAGACUCCUACGGGAGGCAGCAGUGGGGAAUAUUGGACAAUGGGCGCAAGCCUGAUCCAGCCAUACCGCGUGGGUGAAGAAGGCCUUCGGGUUGUAAAGCCCUUUUGUUGGGAAAGAAAUCCAGCCGGCUAAUACCUGGUUGGGAUGACGGUACCCAAAGAAUAAGCACCGGCUAACUUCGUGCCAGCAGCCGCGGUAAUACGAAGGGUGCAAGCGUUACUCGGAAUUACUGGGCGUAAAGCGUGCGUAGGUGGUUGUUUAAGUCUGUUGUGAAAGCCCUGGGCUCAACCUGGGAACUGCAGUGGAAACUGGACAACUAGAGUGUGGUAGAGGGUAGCGGAAUUCCCGGUGUA